RNAcentral lists this unclassified non-coding RNA (246 nucleotides) under plant metagenome. RNAcentral's name for it is "partial contains small subunit ribosomal RNA, internal transcribed spacer 1, and 5.8S ribosomal RNA". The record is from RNAcentral.
GCUCCGUUGGUGAACCAGCGGAGGGAUCAUUACCGAGUUUACAACUCCCAAACCCAAUGUGAACCAUACCAAACUGUUGCCUCGGCGGGGUCACGCCCCGGGUGCGUCGCAGCCCCGGAACCAGGCGCCCGCCGGAGGGACCAACCAAACUCUUUUCUGUAGUCCCCUCGCGGACGUUAUUUCUUACAGCUCUGAGCAAAAAUUCAAAAUGAAUCAAAACUUUCAACAACGGAUCUCUUGGUUCUG